GUUUAGGUAAUUUGGAAAACACUAACGGGGCAGCGGCCUCGACAAAUUAUUUUUUUAGAUGGAGAGUGACCAAAGAAGGAUUCGAAAUUAACAUCAAAGGAAAAUAUGAGGUAUAUGAUGCAUUUUGUCCGGACAAAAUACGACUGGGGUGGAACAGACAAUAUGACGACAGACGACGGUGACGAUUUGACUUGACAACAGCGGUGAAAAUGACUUGAAUGUGGAUGAAUGGAAUGGAAUGUAUGAGAUUUUGGAAAGAAUGGGAUGAAAAAGUGUUUGAAAUCUGUGAAUUUUAACUUUAUUUCCACAUUUCCUUGUUUAUUGUGUUUUCUAUGGCCGCAGCCAUCUUGUUUACGUCGAAUGAACCAAUGACUGGAGGUUUUAGUUGCUUUCGAAUGUGUCGAUGUCUAUGAUUGGCUUUGUUAGUACCACGUGGCCGGCGAGCCGGCGUCCCCAGAAAUCGUAAUGGCGAAACACGCUAAACUUUUACAGUUAGAGUUUGGGAUCUAAUCUGCGGUAAAAUCAUGGCGGGGAUCGUCGUUAUCGAGCGUGGUCAUGACCUCGGUUGUAAGACGUCGUUUAAAAACAAAUUUCAGUGGGUUUUCAGUUCGCAGAAAAAGGUUUUUAAGUAGCGCUGCGCCUCCGACGGAAGCCUCUGUCACCACGGCGAGGAGAUGACUGCAUGCAGCAGCCGUCUCUGGUCGAACGAAAACUACUUUCUCGGGAGGUUCCCCAAAUCUUUUCAAAAACAUGGAAAGGCAGCCCAGAUAAGAGUGAAGUCCAGACCCUUCCUUAAUCCUCAUAAAUCUUCAUGCAGAACAUUCUUCUGCCUAAGGGGUACAAGAGCAUGAGCAGAUGCUCACACCUCCCCCAAAAGGACCUCAGUUAGCCAGAAGGGGGCCGAGUCAGAGGUGACUGACCCUGAGGUUAAGAUAACUACUUCAAUCAUGUAAAGUAUUACUGCACAUUUGCAGGUAAUAGAAAGGAGAAAGGGAGAAGUUGAGCAGCUGAAAAAUCCACACAUGAUAAAUGGUGUUUAAAAAUAAUAACAUGAAUUUUGAGUUUUAUGCCCUCAGAGACAGCAGAAGUGACGUGUCAUGCUCAGCCAUUCGUAAGUCGGGGACAGGAGAACAUGGUGAAAACCCUGGGACACGUGAGCCGCCCAGGAGACCCUAGCAGUAUCUGGAAAUGGCAUCUGUGGCACUCCAAACCCUUGGGCAUGUGAUAGCCCACAACGAGGUACCCAACAGCAGAAUGCACAGACCCAGAGGCAGAGGGUCUGGAGGAAAAAUGAACAGUACCCACGACCACUCCAAGCCCCUCCUCCACCGUGGCGAGGACCACAGGGCAAGUCGGACAAUACCACUUGAUGAUGCAGGAGCCAUUGUCUUUUCCAAGAUGAGAGGUAACCACUGAUGACUCUAGUGGACACUACCUGCUCUGACAAAUGAACAAAUGACUCCUCAAAACCUGCAAAAGACCAUCCGACUGACUUUUGACCAGAUGGUGGAACAUUCAUGUAUGCAUUCACUAAACACGCCUGUGAAUCUGUUGGGAUGGGACAGUCUUGUCAAAAACAGGAGCCAGCAGACUGGAUGCCAUGCCAGACCCCACAGCCAACCCCCACUGCAGACAACCAGAGGGCCCUGAAACGCCAGGUGGUUUCAUGGGUUUCAGGCGUGAAAGCCAUGACUCCUGUCCUCAAAGCUCUAUUUCCGCCUCCGAAUGGUCUGACCUGUACACUCUAUGAUUGACAGUACACAGUAAUAUUUCAGCAGG
Molecule: non-coding RNA, 1779 nt
Organism: Oryzias latipes (Japanese medaka)
Lineage: Eukaryota; Metazoa; Chordata; Actinopteri; Beloniformes; Adrianichthyidae
Source: RefSeq, a predicted model, not a curated record